RNAcentral lists this ribosomal RNA (429 nucleotides) under Actinomycetes bacterium. Its description in RNAcentral is "Actinobacteria bacterium partial 16S ribosomal RNA". It matches the Rfam family "Bacterial small subunit ribosomal RNA", at positions 355 to 776 of the family's 1533-position model. The record is from RNAcentral. Lineage: Bacteria; Bacillati; Actinomycetota; Actinomycetes.
UAGGGAAUCUUCCGCAAUGGGCGAAAGCUUGACGGACCAACGCCGCGUGAGUGAUGAAGGUCUUCGGAUCGUAAAACUCUGUUAUUAGGGAAGAACAAAUGUGUAAGUAACUAUGCACGUCUUGACGGUACCUAAUCAGAAAGCCACGGCUAACUACGUGCCAGCAGCCGCGGUAAUACGUAGGUGGCAAGCGUUAUCCGGUAUUAUUGGGCGUAAAGCGCGCGUAGGCGGUUUUUUAAGUCUGAUGUGAAAGCCCACGGCGCAACCGUGGAGGGUCAUUGGAAACUGGAAAACUUGAGUGCAGAAGAGGAAAGUGGAAUUCCAUGUGUAGCGGUGAAAUGCGCAGAGAUAUGGAGGGACACCAGUGGCGAAGGCGACUUUCUGGGCUGUAACUGACGCUGAUGUGCGAAAGCGUGGGGAUCAAACAGG